GUCCCUGUUGUGCAAUGGGCAGCGCAUUUUGGACUUCUAAUCCGAAGAUCGUGGGUUAAAAUCCCACCUGGGAUG
Non-coding RNA from Trichonephila inaurata madagascariensis, 75 nucleotides. The record is from the annotation of a GenBank genome assembly. NCBI's taxonomy places the organism in Eukaryota, Metazoa, Arthropoda, Arachnida, Araneae, Nephilidae.